AGUGAACGCUGGCGGUAGGCCUAACACAUGCAAGUCGAACGGCAGCACAGUAAGAGCUUGCUCUUACGGGUGGCGAGUGGCGGACGGGUGAGGAAUACAUCGGAAUCUACUUUUUCGUGGGGGAUAACGUAGGGAAACUUACGCUAAUACCGCAUACGACCUACGGGUGAAAGCAGGGGAUCUUCGGACCUUGCGCGAUUGAAUGAGCGGAUGUCGGAUUAGCUAGUUGGCGGGGUAAAGGCCCACCAAGGCGACGAUCCGUAGCUGGUCUGAGAGGAUGAUCAGCCACACUGGAACUGAGACACGGUCCAGACUCCUACGGGAGGCAGCAGUGGGGAAUAUUGGACAAUGGGCGAAAGCCUGAUCCAGCCAUACCGCGUGGGUGAAGAAGGCCUUCGGGUUGUAAAGCCCUUUUGUUGGGAAAGAAAAGCAGCAGGUUAAUACCCCGCUGUUCUGACGGUACCCAAAGAAUAAGCACCGGCUAACUUCGUG
This 492-nucleotide ribosomal RNA is filed under the name uncultured bacterium. RNAcentral's name for it is "partial 16S ribosomal RNA". It matches the Rfam family "Bacterial small subunit ribosomal RNA", at positions 29 to 507 of the family's 1533-position model. The record is from RNAcentral.